UUUUCCUUUGACUUGACCGGGUCUUUAUUAACCUUUGUUUCUUUACAGUUUUCAGUUUCCCCAUUCCUGUCUCCUCACAACUUCUAAAACAUUAGGGAUUGUUGCAAAAUCAUAAAGCUAAGCUGUAGUCUCCAAUAUCUUGCAAUUCAACAACUCCAAAAAAUCCAAUCUCCAAUUUCAAGUUUUAAGUUAUGGAAUCCAUGAAACAAUAGCCCCCAUUUUGCAGUGGUUGAUGAACAAGCAAGCCCAAAAGAAUAUGAAAUCCAUGCAAAUAGCGGACCUUUCUUUUUUUUUCUACCAUUCGGGCACGAAAGCCGAUUGCGUGGUCUGUGUGGAGAAGGAUGUUUGGAGAAAUGUUUGUGAGAUGGGUAGUGGAUAUGAUGGGGACUAUGGCGGUCAUUAUGCUUAAUAGUAAUUAGGGGGUGCUCUAAAAGUGUAGUUGUAAUUACUGACUUUUUGGAAGGGGUGUUUCUAGGCUAGCAAGUAGGAAUAUCUUUAUUUCGGCUAUGGGGGAUAUGCUCUAAAGGUGUUUGAUAUUUUAUAGCAAAGGGGAUAUGUUAAUAGUUAUAAUCACUGCAAAAUCUUUAUUUUAGGCUAGAAACAUCCUUAUUUUGGCUAUGAAAUCUUCUAUAAUGUGUGAUAUGAUGAUUGGAAUCAAGGAACUUUAAGCUAUUUUUGCAUCUUAGUGAUGUAAUGAAUGAUUGGUUUUAAGGAUAUUUAAAAAAAAAAUCUGGAAUUUAAGUAUUUUGUCGAUGAAUUUAAGAUUUGCGCCAUUGAAAUAUAUGAAAAUAAGAUUUUUUGUGCAACUUUAAAGUGAUCUAGUGUUUGUUGAAUUUUUUCAUAAGGUUGUUCUUUAGCCACCAAAAUAAAAUAAGUAAAUUUAGUUGAUGGUAAAUAUAUUUGACGAGAAUUGACACAUCGGUCGAACCACCGUGUCACCGAUUGAACUAUUGACCCACUGACCUAUUGCGUUGUUCGGAUCGAUGCCCAAGUCGAGUCUGAUAACUAUGAUUGGAAGUAAUUCCUCUUGUACCAAGUCUUAUUUCCCUUAAGGAUGCCUUGGAAGAGUGUGUGAAGGAGUUCAGAGCAUCUAGAAGGUCUGGAAAACUACAUAUACAUCUCAGCUCGGCUGAUUAGCUGCUAGUGAGGGUUCUGGAGGUUGCAAAAGAAUUGUAAUAUGAUAUGUAUAUAUUGUACACUUAUUUGGCC
RNAcentral lists this long non-coding RNA (1209 nucleotides) under Olea europaea (common olive). RNAcentral describes it as "long non-coding RNA (OEUR_LNC005072)". The record is from RNAcentral. Lineage: Eukaryota; Viridiplantae; Streptophyta; Magnoliopsida; Lamiales; Oleaceae.